Zalophus californianus (California sea lion) is the source of this 5509-nucleotide RNA transcript. It is a transcript of the gene named GLIS family zinc finger 3, with no coding region annotated. Lineage: Eukaryota; Metazoa; Chordata; Mammalia; Carnivora; Otariidae. The transcript has 12 exons. The record is from RefSeq and is a predicted model, not a curated record.
GCGCGCUGAAGGGCUGGAGCCCCAAGUUACUCCUCGCCAGUGCUGGCCUCCGCUGUCAUUCGCAGGCUGGCCGGGGAAGGGACCCGCACGCCUGGCUUUGUUGUGGAAAUCCGGGUUACCUGGCUAAUAACCCACACCAUGGAUAACUUAUUGGACUUUGCCUGAAAGGAGUCAUUAGUGCCAUUGGAUAUUUGACCAUCCUGGCCACAGGUUUUUUCAGAAUGAAUGGAAGGUCAUGCAGCAUGAGUCUCCACCGGACAUCAGGAACCCCACAGGGGCCCGGGAUGGUCAGUGGCCAAUACAUUCCUCCCAUCCGAGCCCACUCUGGGACUCCUGGCCCCUCGUCCUGUGGCAGCACAGCGAGCCCUGCCAUCGGAAGCCUUGCUAACAGCCUUCAUCUCAAGAUGCCCUCGGGAGGAGGGAUGGCUCCUCAGAGCAACGUGGCCGAGAGCCCCCUCCAUCUGCCCGCCUUGAGCCCCAGGAGACAAGUGCUCACCAAUGGGAAGCCACGAUUCCAGGUCACCCAGGCUGGAGGCAUGUCAGGGCCACACAAUUUAAAGCCAAAGCAGCAGGAGUUUGGAAGUCCUUUUCCUCCAAAUCCUGGGAAAGGGGCUCUUGGCUUUGGGCCUCAGUGCAAGUCCAUUGGAAAAGGCAGCUGCAACAAUCUAGUGGUCACCAGCAGUCCCAUGAUGGUUCAGCGACUGGGACCCAAUUCACCUCCAGCAAGCCAGGUCUCUACAGCAUGCAACCAGAUCAGUCCUAGCUUACAGAGGGCAAUGAAUGCUGCCAACCUGAAUAUACCUCCUUCAGAUACCAGGUCCCUUAUUUCCCGCGAGUCUUUGGCGUCCACGACUUUGAGUCUCACAGAGAGUCAGUCAGCCUUGAGCGUGAAACAAGAGUGGUCUCAUGGCUACAGGGCUCUCCCGUCACUCUCCUCCAGCCACAGCUCCCAGAACGGCACUGAUCUAGGGGACCUCCUUAGCCUUCCUCCCGGGACAGCCGUGUCCGGCAAUAGCGUCUCUAACUCACUGCCGUCCUACCUUUUCAGCAUGGAGAACAGCCACUCCCCUUACCCCAGUCCCCGGCACUCGUCGGCCAGGCCCCACUCGGCCCGCUCCAAGAAGAGAGCGCUGUCCUUGUCUCCGCUGUCUGACGGCAUUGGGAUAGACUUCAAUACCAUCAUCCGCACCUCGCCCACCUCACUGGUCGCCUACAUCAACGGGUCGAGGGCCUCCCCGGCCACCAUGUCCCCGCAGCCUGAGGUCUACGGGCAUUUCCUGGGGGUGCGUGGCAGCUGCAUUCCCCAGCCGUGCUCGGUGCCGAGCAGCCAGAAGGGCGUGCGGGUGGCCAACGGUGGCCUGGUGCUCCCGGCCUAUGGCGAGGGCGGCGUGCUGGAGUGUGAGCGCAUGCAGCAGCUGGAGCACGGAGGCCUCCAGCCAGGGCUGGUCCACAACAUGGUGGUACAGCAUGGUCUGCCCAACCACGACGGCCAGCCAGGCGGCCUGCUGAAGACGGAGCGCCUCGAUGAUUUCCCGGGUGGUGCCCUGGACCUGCCCCCUGCGCCCCCUCUGCCCCCUCUGCCACCACCCCCCCAGGGCCCCCCGCCCCCCUACCACUCCCACCCCCAUCUGCACCACCAGGAGCUAGUGGCCCGGGCCCAGCCGCUGGCCCUUCCCCAGGAGGCCCUGGAGGAGGACGGGGAGAUGGAGGACGUUGGGGGCAAACACUGCUGUCGCUGGAUCGACUGCAGCGCCCUGUAUGACCAGCAGGAGGAACUUGUGCGGCACAUCGAGAAGGUUCACAUAGACCAGCGCAAAGGGGAAGACUUCACUUGCUUCUGGGCCGGCUGUCCUCGAAGGUACAAGCCAUUCAACGCCCGGUAUAAACUGCUCAUCCACAUGCGAGUCCACUCCGGGGAGAAGCCCAACAAGUGCACGUUUGAAGGUUGCAAGAAGGCCUUUUCCAGGCUUGAGAAUCUCAAGAUUCACUUGCGGAGCCACACAGGUGAAAAGCCGUACCUGUGCCAGCAUCCGGGCUGUCAGAAGGCAUUCAGUAACUCCAGCGACCGCGCCAAGCACCAGAGGACACAUCUGGACACUAAACCUUAUGCUUGUCAAAUUCCAGGAUGCACCAAACGCUACACAGACCCGAGUUCCCUACGAAAGCAUGUGAAGGCACAUUCUUCCAAAGAUCAACAAGCAAGGAAAAAGUUGCGGUCCAGCGCAGAGCUCCAUCCUGACCUGCUCACGGACUGCCUCACAGUGCAGCCCCUGCAGUCGGCCACCUCCCCACACGAUGCUGCUGCUGAUGGGGCGGUGGGAUGCUCCCCCGGGCCUGGGCCUGACCUCUAUCCAGCCUCCAUCUUCGGCAACAGUCAUUCAAGCCGAAGCGGAACAGCUGCUGGGCCCAUGCCAGCCCCGCAUGCCGUCGGCCACCCUUCCCCGGGCCAGAGUGUGCAGGGGAGCCCCCACAACCCUGCCUCCCAGUUACCUCCGCUCGCAGCUGUGGACGCGGGAGCCGAGAGGUUUGCACCUUCUGCCCCGUCUCCUCACCACAUCAGCCCCCGGAGAGUUCCAGCUCCUUCUUCAGUAAUGCCGAGAACGCAGCCUCCCCACACACAGCAGCCAGCAGGUGGGCCACACCUGAAGUCUUACCAGCUGGAAACAAACUCUUCCUUUCAACCAAGUGGGAUCCACGUCCAUGGAUUUUACGGGCAGCUACAGACAUUCCGCCCCCCCCAGUAUCCCGACUCCCAGAGAGCCGUGCUGCCCAGCAGCCCCUGCAGCGGGGCGCCUUCCCUCGAGGACUGCCUGGCCCCCACGCCCAUGGGGCAGGCCGGCUUUGAUGUGUUCCACAGAGCCUUCUCCGCUCACUCGGGCAUUGCAGUGUAUGAUUUGCCUUCAGGGUCUUCGAGCCUCUUCGGGGAGUCUUUUCGCAGCGGACCUGAGGACGCCACGUUUCUGCAGAUCAGCGCCGUGGACCGCUGUCCUAGCCAGCUCUCCUCUGUUUAUACUGAAGGCUAAAGGCUCCCCUGGCCUCCACCCCCACUGACACCCAGAACCUUUUUUGUCACUUGCCACCUUUUAUUUUCAUAUUCUCAUAGACUGCAUGAAAAGGUUGUCCGCCUCAUUGGUGGACCCUGCAGAAUCACAGACGUGUCUCUGGAAGGCAGGACUGGCCGGAGCCAGGCUUUGCAGGAAUGUGUUCAGUUGUCCUUUUUCUCUCUGGGUUUGCUGGUGACCAGCAGGCCUGGCUUUUCAAAGGGAAUUUAGAGUCACUCUACCGGACACCUGUGACUUCCGGCUGUCAGCUCUCAAAGGACACCAGUGAAAGGAUGCGUAUAUGAACAUACAGUCUGGGGAUCACGCUUGCGCAGAACUCCAAAGAGGGAAGGACAACCCAAACUGCCGGAAGCACAGUGAACCCCCCGCUGCUCCCCGUCCCCGCUGGCUCCUGCAAAAUCAGGCAACAGGGGAAACCUACACCCAAGCACAGCUUGGGCUCAACUCCUGGAGAAGCCCUGGCUCCUGGCACCGGCCCUGGCCUGGCAGCCCAGGGAGCUGGCUGCCUCUCUCCUCUUACUAUGCCCAUGCUAACCAAUUGCUUUUCAAUAUUUCUCCAAAAGCAAAAUAAGAAGGUUCUGUCAAGCACAGUCCCUUGAAAGGCACUACGACUUGUUUUAUAUUCCAGCAACUUAUCUUAGUUCUUUUAUUUUUAAAGACUUGUUAUUUACAUCUACUUUUAAAGGAAAAAAAAAUAUUUAGAGGUCUGUUCUUUGGACGGAAAGAAGUAGUGUAAUCACCCCAGUUACGUCCAUUUUGCCACCGCUGUAGCUUGGCCUGGCCCCACCUCACGCACCUGUGAACACCCCCCCCCCCACGGUAGUUUCGCAUUUCACAAAAGUGACCUGAGGGAAAGGGGGUGGGCCCAGCCCCCUUCCCAGGGCCGUAGCGGAAACCCUGGUGGGUUGACUGUUCGGUGACUCCACCUCGAAGACCUCGUUCCAUGGAAAAGAUCGCUUGACUGGUUGACCCAUUGCCUCCACUUGGUACUGUGCUGAGUCAUGCUAGAAGAUGUGAGAACAGGGACCCCCUGAUCUGAGAUCCUGGGUUCUCUCAGAAAACCCAACUAGAGGUGCCCAAUGUCCAAUGAUUUUGCAUAGCUUUUGCUCACCUCCUUUCGGAUACCCACUCAGCUGUCUGUCUGUCCCUCCCCCGUACUGUCCUCUCCACCCUCGCCAUUAUUCUCACCUCCUCCCGUCUGCAGUCAGCACACCCACCCGCCCUCGCCUGACCAUCCUUCCUCCCCGCAAGGUCUGCUCUGAGGCAGGGAGAGGGAAAGUUCAGGGAAGGUAAGCAGAAGAAGUUAACUUUUUUCCCUGAAACUCUCCUUUGAGAGCCUGGAAUGUUCACAGAGCUCUUGGUCAUUUGAUAGCAACCCUGAAUAGGAAGCCACUUUCUGGGAUGCGUUGACAAAGCUAUUAAAAAGAUCUUCAGUCCCACGCGUAGAUCCUAAAAAGUAGCCACACCCCAAAGACACGGGGUAAAGCCUGACAUUCCAGAACUGUCACAUUUCCGUUUCUUUCCUCUGGUAAAAUGAAACAGUGCCCUUUGCCCCACCGAGAUCAUUACAGUCUCCAACAAGAGUUCACCAGCACGGUGUCACCCUUGGGACCCGGGGACAGUUUGUCUCCUGACAGGCAGGUCCCCACAGUCGGGCUGCCCGGGCUGGACUUGAUCCCCAUGUGCCGUAGAGUGAGGGGACUAACGAGCCACAUGGGGGGGGGUCUCUUUUCCAGGGCCCAAGGUCAGUCUGCUUCCUUGGACUCGUGGGCUCUGAUCCGAGAAAGGCCACCAUGCAGGCGUCCAGAGCUGCAAAAGAGCGAGGUUACUCACUUUACAAACCUCUGCUCUGCUUUACGAAACAAGGCUCCUGAGGCUUCCCAGCCAGACGAGCUCCCAGCCUGCGCGUAAAACACCAGCCUCCUUGCAGACGUUGUGGGUUCUGUCACUGGGUGUAAACCAGGACACACGCAUGCCAGGGCGGCCGUCCCCCGCGGGUCCCCGUGCCCCACUCCAGAAAGGAAGUAAAAUGAAGGGAUUGUGCCCUUGGUACAGAAUAAAAACUGGAACUGGAGAAAACGGCCCACCUGCCUGAAAUCCCUGAAAUCCUCCUUCUGCACGGCCUUCUGAAACACAAUGGGAACAACCCAGGGGUGGGUGGGUUGGUUGGUUUGUUUGUUUGUUUGUUUGUUUGAUUAUUGUGUUUUGUUUUACCAUAAGCCUCCUUCCUAUUGGGAUGGUAAUUAUAAUUAAAAGCAGAUGGGGGUGGGGGAGGGCGAGUCCAAGGCCAGCUUGAAAAUGCCGCAUUGCUUUGGGCCAGAGCUGCAGCCUGGAUUUAAUUAUAGAUAUGAGGACAAAAUGGCAGUAAGAAUGAAUGUGUCCCCGAAUCCUUUACAUGUUGGGAGUGUCCAUAAAUAAAACAUGAAGUUUUAUUUCAUCAGAUUUAA